AGAGAAUACUCAGGCGCUUGAGAGAACUCGGGUGAAGGAACUAGGCAAAAUGGUGCCGUAACUUCGGGAGAAGGCACGCUGGCGGUAGGUAAAGUCCCUUGCGGACGGCGCCCAAGCCAGUCGAAGAUACCAGCUGGCUGCAACUGUUUAUUAAAAACACAGCACUGUGCAAACACGAAAGUGGACGUAUACGGUGUGACGCCUGCCCGGUGCUGGAAGGUUAA
Molecule: ribosomal RNA, 224 nt
Filed under: Proteus mirabilis
Lineage: Bacteria; Pseudomonadati; Pseudomonadota; Gammaproteobacteria; Enterobacterales; Morganellaceae
Description: partial 23S ribosomal RNA
Rfam family: Bacterial large subunit ribosomal RNA
Source: RNAcentral